RNAcentral lists this long non-coding RNA (535 nucleotides) under Homo sapiens (human). RNAcentral's name for it is "non-protein coding lnc-LYPD1-3:1". The record is from RNAcentral. Lineage: Eukaryota; Metazoa; Chordata; Mammalia; Primates; Hominidae.
GGAGAGGAGGACCCUGGCAGCAAGUGUCACAGGCCCUGGUGGAAUUCCAGGUCAAAGAGGUAAACGUGGAGCAGGCUGCAACCAUGAUAGACUCCGCGUCAUAGGGGUCCUCAAUAGUGAGAGAGAGAAAAAGAACAGGAUGGGACAGUGGUCCCACAGGGUGCACACCUCACUACACUCAGAUAACCUGCGGGCAAUCACAGUAUUCCCACCCUCCCUUGCAGGGAGAAGAAGUGGAGGUGCUGACAGCCAGGGCGCAGGGGCACAAGGUAAACCAGUGAGGCGGGAUGUGGAUGGGGCUAGAGACCACGGUUCCACAGGAGCUCUCCUUGCCAAAGAUGACCGAGAGAGGACAGCAAUGACAUGGGUAAGGAAAACCAAGGCAAUGAACCCAGGGUCAGCAGACACUUCAGCCUCGGGGCAGCCACAACUUCAAGUACCAGCCCUGAUGCUCAGAACACCCCAAACGACAAGAUGGUAGAGACAAAAGCUGAGAAUUCAUCCACUCCUGAGGCUGAGCAGAAUGUGGCUGAGU